This 253-nucleotide ribosomal RNA is filed under the name uncultured bacterium. Its description in RNAcentral is "partial 16S ribosomal RNA". It matches the Rfam family "Bacterial small subunit ribosomal RNA", at positions 524 to 776 of the family's 1533-position model. The record is from RNAcentral.
GACGAAGGAUGCAAGCGUUAUCCGGAUUCAUUGGGUUUAAAGGGAGCGUAGGUGGCCAAAUAAGUCAGUGGUGAAAUCUCUGGGCUUAACCCAGAAAUUGCCAUUGAUACUGUAUGGCUUGAGUGUAGUUGCCGUUGGCGGAAUAUGACAUGUAGUGGUGAAAUACAUAGAGAUGUCAUAGAACACCGAUUGCGAAGGCAGCUGACGAAACUAUAACUGACACUGAGGCUCGAAAGUGCGGGGAUCAAACAGG